Non-coding RNA from Sesamum indicum (sesame), 4028 nucleotides. NCBI's taxonomy places the organism in Eukaryota, Viridiplantae, Streptophyta, Magnoliopsida, Lamiales, Pedaliaceae. The record is from RefSeq and is a predicted model, not a curated record.
ACAAAAAGGGAAUGAGUGGCCUAGAGAGAGAAAGUAAUGCCUCUGCUUUAACACUUUACAGAGACUUAGACAGAGAAGAGAGAGAGAGAGAGAGAGCGUGGUGUUUCACAGCGGAAACGGCGUCUUCUGUUGGUUGAUCGGUCAUCUGUGCGAGAAUGAGACUGGCAGCAGAUGAUACUGGAGUUGCGGAGGGUAGUGGUGAAGAGAGCACCGCGGCCGCCGUUACUGUCGGGGAUGACGGAGGCGCGGUGGUGGUGGUUGGAAUGAAGAUGGACUCGCGGAGUAGAGAGUUGCUGACAUGGGCGCUAGUGAAGGUGGCGCAGAGCGGGGAUCGUGUGGUUGCUCUACACAUCCUCGAUCCUAACGCUGAUAAAUCGACUCUGCUUGCGCUGGUCAAGACUUUUGAUUCGGUGUUGGCUGCUUAUGAAGGCUUCUGCAACCUAAAAGAGGUGGAUUUAAAGCUUAAGGUCUGUAAAGGAUCUCCAGUACGUAAGAUCCUAACCCAGGAGGCAAAAUCAUGUGGUGCAACGAGUUUAAUUCUUGGUGCUUCAGGAGUCCAUCACAAAAUUAGAUCAAGGAUCUCUGUUGCCAAGUAUUGUGCCAAGAAUCUACAAAAGAAUGUGUCAGUGAUGUGUGUUGAUAAUGGAAAGAUUUUAUUCCAAAGAGACUCAAAUGCUUCCAAAGUCUCGUUGUUUGGAAGUCUUGAUGUGUCAGGAUCGAGAAUGAAAAGGAGGAAGACAUUGCCCAAAAGCCCGUUAAGUCUACCACCAGCCCGAGUUUUAUCAUCAUCAAGCAAUGGAAGUGAGGAUACUUCAAUGGCUCUGGUACCCUUAAGAACUCAAAAGUUGCCCGAAUCCAAGUCAGGAUGGGCAGUAUUGCGCAGUGUGUUUCUACACAAGCGAAGAGUAACUGAAACGUCAUCUCCUAAGAAAUCAUCAUUGGUUCAGUGGAUAUUAAAACUACCGAGUCGACAAUCCUUUGCAAUUAUUUAUCCUGAUCAGAAACAGAUUACCACACCUGAUAGGGAUGACUGUCAUUUAGAUUUGGACCCCGAGAAUGGUGCUAUUGUCCUGUACUCAGCUGAGACUAAUUCUACUUAUUCAUCCAACAUUUUCCUGGAAGAACUCAAGGCUCUUGGGGAGAAGUACUCUACGACAUGCCAAUUGUUUAGCUACCAGGAUCUCUUGUCAGCAACAAAUAACUUCCUACCUGAAAAUUUAAUUGGAAUGGGUGGAAGCAGCCGAGUUUAUCGGGGCUGUUUACCAGGAGGCAGGGAAUUAGCAGUGAAAAUUCUAAAACCGUCAGAGGAUGUACUGAAGCAGUUCGUUUCUGAAAUCGAAAUUAUUACGUCUUUGCAUCACAAAAACAUUAUAUCUUUACUUGGUUUUGGUUUUGAGGAGGACAAAUUACUUUUGGUUUAUAACCUUUUAUCCAGAGGAAGCCUGGAAGAGAAUCUCCAUGGUACACAGAAGUCUGAAAAUUUGUUUGGUUGGGAAGAGAGAUAUAAGGUUGCUUUGGGAGUUGUUGAGGCGCUGGACCAUUUGCACAAUACAGCUGACUCAAUUAUACAUAGAGAUGUAAAAUCUUCAAAUAUCCUUCUUUCAGACAAUUUUGAGCCACAGCUGUCAGAUUUUGGUCUUGCUGCAUGGGCUUCAAGUUGUUCGCAUCAUAUGAGUGCCUCAGAUGUUGCUGGUACAUUCGGCUACUUGGCCCCAGAGUACUUUAUGCACGGGAAACUAAAUGAAAAAAUUGAUGUCUAUGCAUUUGGCGUUGUACUCCUGGAGCUGUUAUCUGGUAGAAAGCCAAUUGAUAAUGGAUUUCCAAAUGGCCAGGAAAGCUUGGUGAUGUGGGCAAAACACAUUUUGAAGGAGGGUAAAAUUUCAGAGCUGCAAGAUCCAAAGUUGGUUAAUGCUUGUAACUGGGAUCAAUUUGAGAAAAUGGUCUUAGCUGCAACCUUGUGUAUCAGACUUGAACCUCAAUCUCGUCCUGAAACUAGCCUUGUUCUAAAACUCCUUCGUGGGGAUCCAGAAGUUGUGGAGUGGGCUAGGCAGGAAACUGAGACUUCUGAAGACCUCUUCAACGUUAUCAACGGUGAACAAUCUGCAACAAACAUCCAAUCCUUCAUCAAUCUUGCGUUGCUUAAUUUGGACGAUGAUUCUGCCUCUAAUAGCAGCACUGAGCAGAAUCUCUCGGUGGAGGAUUACUUGGGAGGUAGAUGGAGCCGUUCGUCAAGCUUCGACUAAAUAGUUUCCAUAAAUUCUCUCAUGGCUAGAGUGUGUACAUACCUCUAGAGCCUUUAUUUGUUUGCAUAUUACAAGGUCUUGGAUGAGAGGAUCCCAAUGUUCUGACCUCCUCCUCGCCUGAAUGUCUACACUAUACGUAUAAAAGAAGGUAGCGGUGUCACGAUUCCUGGUGGUCGCAUUUUUUGAGAUUAUUUGUUCAUAUAGGAAAGGUUAGCUGGUCCCCAAUUCACCAUCUUAGUUAUCUGUAUAGUAGGCAGAGGUAACUACCCAUCCACUAUCACAAUCUUAAGUUGUGAAAUGUAUCAUUCGCCAUUGCAAGAAAAUGGCUAUUCUACCCCCUGAUUCCCAUCAAGUAAAUAGCCACUCAGGUGUUCCUUUCUUGAUUUUUUCUGCACAGAAGCUAGUUUAUGAGUGUUUUGUUGAUACAGGUGGUAGUUUCAGGUCCUUUUCUUAACCAAACAGACAUCUUGGUUGUGUUCUUACAACUAAUGAUGGUUAACAUCAAAACCUUGACUCUUACUUGUUUAGUGUUGUUUCAGACAACUGAUGGUGGGAGUAGGUAUUCUUUAUGUAUGUGUUAUAUAUAGCAUAAGACAACAUUGGAAUCUAAAGGGAUAUAUCUCUACCACCGACUUUCUUUUCAGUGAUUGGAAUUCCUUACAUAACUACUGAAAUUUGUCUCCAUCUUUAGCAGUCAGCAACAUUGCUGUCAAUUGACAUCAGUAGCCAACCAGGUUUACAAUCAGACACGCGAAUUAUAAUAUUUUGGUAUACGUAUGUGGACAUUAGUUACAACUGCAGUUUUAUUAAAGUUGGUGGAACAUGGAAGGAAGUGGUUAUUCCUGAGUAGUCGAAAGCUCGUACAGCGUCGUCAACCUUGCUCCAUUCUUGCCUUGUACCCACAUAUUAAGACGAUAAGCAGGAGAAAUAAGUUGAGAACCGUACUUCAUUAGGUGUUGGUCCAAAACGUCCCUAAAUCCCUACUUUUAGGGUUUUAACACUUCUGCUCUCUUUCUUCGUCAAAUUCUUCACUGUCUUUUUUCUACAAUCACAGAUUCUUUCAUCCAGGUACUCAAUUCUCUCUCUCUCUCUCUCUCUGAGGUACUCGAGGGAUGGAUGGUCUGAGAAGGCACUGAUGCUAUUGACCCAAUGGUCGCAAGGUUGAAGAUCAUAAACUUUCAUACGCCAACGGGCUUCAGGGAUGCUUUUAUUAACUUAGGUUUUCCAGUCAAGUUUCGGGUUUUCACACUUUGUGCGUUGGGCUGGUGAUUCGUAUAUCUAUCUAAUAAAUUGAGAGACAGGACAAAGAAUGGCAAGCCCUCCAGAAGAAGAAUACAUUGGGCAAGCUGCUGAUGGCCAUCAAGAAGGAAGCCCUGUGGCUGCCGGGUGGACAGGGAAAAUAGAAGAGCAGUAUCGCAAAAUCAAAGAACAUGCAGAAACCUACCCAUAUGUGUGGGGUUCAUAUAUCCUUGUAUAUGGAGGAUUUGGUCUGUGGUUGACCUACAGGUGGAGAAAGCUUCGUAGAACUGAAGAUAGAGUUCAAGUUCUUAAAGAAAGACUACGCAAAAUUGUUGAAGCUGAACAGUCUACUAAGUUGGCAACGAAGUCUUAGCUUGCAACCAAGUUAGGCGGGACAGAACUUUGCCUAUGUUGUUCCAAUGGAAAUGAUAAAAUUUAGUUCAAAGUGAAAGGAUGAUGUUCCUAAAAGAGGAAGGGUGUAGGUUAUAUUAUAUUUGAUUAUUUCUGAAUAAAUGUUAUAAGGAAAAUUGCUAUGCUGAAUUUGUU